UCCUACGGGAGGCAGCAGUGAGGAAUAUUGGUCAAUGGCCGAGAGGCUGAACCAGCCAAGUCGCGUGAGGGAAGACGGCCCUACGGGUUGUAAACCUCUUUUGUCGGGGAGCAAAGCGAGUCACGUGUGACUCAUUGAGAGUACCCGAAGAAAAAGCAUCGGCUAACUCCGUGCCAGCAGCCGCGGUAAUACGGAGGAUGCGAGCGUUAUCCGGAUUUAUUGGGUUUAAAGGGUGCGUAGGCGGGACGGUAAGUCAGCGGUAAAAAUGCGGAGCUCAACUCCGUCGAGCCGUUGAAACUGCCGUU
Molecule: ribosomal RNA, 305 nt
Filed under: uncultured bacterium
Lineage: Bacteria
Description: bacterial SSU rRNA
Rfam family: Bacterial small subunit ribosomal RNA
Source: RNAcentral